This 371-nucleotide long non-coding RNA is filed under the name Chloebia gouldiae (Gouldian finch). RNAcentral's name for it is "Erythrura gouldiae (Gouldian finch) lncRNA (ENSEGOG00005017104.1)". Lineage: Eukaryota; Metazoa; Chordata; Aves; Passeriformes; Passeridae. The record is from RNAcentral.
GUCUUAGCAGUGUGACGACGGUAACUGGACCUGGGACGGUUCUCACAGUUGUACCAAAUGUCAUUGUGGAGAAAUCAACUAAAUCGGCAGCUGGUGGCACGACUGUGAAAACAACAACUUUGCCAUCGACUUUCCAUACCGAGAACAGCAGCUCUGUGGAACAGAGCACAGAAAGACAGUGCAUGGACAAGUCUGACAGCAGCUUGGUAACAAUAUUGCCAGACCCUGAAGGGCAGAGAGUGAACAUGCUGUCCAUGGCUGUGCUGGGUUUGAGAGUCCUGCUGGCAAAGAGCAUCACCUUCAAUGUCCUCAUGAGUAUCAAGUUGUUUCUUUUCUGAGGUAAGGGAGAUCACAGCUAUCAAACACUGGUU